CAUUCAGUUUGAAGGGUUUUGGAGACAAUGUGAAGAAGGAGAGCUUGCUCUGCCGUUGGGAGGUCGGCUGAGGAAGAAGGUCAGCUGGGUGCUUUCUCUGCCUCUCCGAGCUAGCAGGCUUUCACACCAGCAUCUGGUAAAUUGAACAGUUGAGAUUUUGUUAACAACCUUUCCUCACUCCUGAGCCCCACAGGGCUCCAGGAACUGCUCUCCUUCUCCACCCUCGGGGUUAGCCACGGGAAGCUUCCCAGGGUUCCUUUCGGCAGUUCUCCGUCCCUCAGCUGUGCCUCAGGAGACCAACAGAAAACAAAAUGUAGUUUCUGCUAGGACUCUACAUGAUGCAAUGCAGGAAAAAAAAGUUUACAAUAUAAGGUGAAGUGACAGAAUCAGGCUAGAACAAUCUCAGCCUGCAUACAAAUAAAUAUAUUUAGAAAAAAGAAAACAUUUGUGCACAGAGAGAGGAAAGACUAGAAAGAAACAUGGGAGGAUCUGUCACAGUGUCUGGGCUACAAGGUUACAGGUGAUUUUUCUCGUCUCUAUACAACUCUAUAUUGUACACUUUGUGUAUUUGUUUAUUUUGAGACGUGAUCUUGCUAUGUAGCCCAGGCUGGCCUAGAACUUGUCAAUCUUCUUCUACUUAGAUUCUAGUCUAUUGUGCACAUUCUUAGAAGUAACCAUGUAUCACCUUUAAAGUGGAAUAUAUAUAUAUAUAUAUAUAUAUAUAUAUAUAUAUAUAUAUAUUUAAACAAAACUGAAAGUGAAAUUGGUUUUUUUGUAAAUAAUAGAUCAUAGAUUUUUUUUAGUGAAUAUAUGAUAAUAUAUCAUAGUAUAUAGGAUAUUGUAGUAUAGAAAGAAAUAUAAGUAUUUUUUGCUGAGCCUUAACUAUUAUCAUUUACAUCUCACCCAUUACUGGGACUGCUCCUUAAGCCUGCCCAGUGCCUAAUAUAACUUCUGUGGGGCAGCCUUUUCAGAGGCUUCACUUCUUUCAGCUCUGGCUUUGGCCUGGUGCUCAGCUGUGCCUGGUGGUCAGGGAGGGGAGAAGGGAGAAGGGGCCUCAGUGCAGCCGAUAGGUCAGUCUGAGCAAGCCAGUAGUGUGUUGACAACUCUCUGGAGUAUAUCCUUGGCUAUCACUUUAUGCUAGUUGGUGGAUAUACUAAGUGAUCUUAGGUCUCUAUUAGCAAAUAUCAUGUCACUGUGCUUGGAAUCAGAAACCUGCUACAAAUACCGAACAGCAGUUAACUUAUUAAAAUUAACAUUCAGACUUAU
This 1266-nucleotide long non-coding RNA is filed under the name Mus musculus (house mouse). RNAcentral's name for it is "long non-coding RNA chr3:85195181-85196447". Lineage: Eukaryota; Metazoa; Chordata; Mammalia; Rodentia; Muridae. The record is from RNAcentral.